Molecule: ribosomal RNA, 377 nt
Filed under: uncultured bacterium
Lineage: Bacteria
Description: partial 16S ribosomal RNA
Rfam family: Bacterial small subunit ribosomal RNA
Source: RNAcentral
CCUACGGGAGGCAGCAGUGGGGAAUAUUGCACAAUGGCGGAAACGCUGAUGCAGCAACGCCGCGUGAGUGAAGAAGUCAUUCGUGAUUUAAAGCUCUAUCUGCAGGGAAGAAAAUGACGGUACGUGACUAUGAAGCCGCGGCUAACUACGUGCCAGCAGCCGUGGCAAUACGUAGGGGGCAACCGUUAUCCGGAUUUACUGGGUGUAAAGGGAGCGUAGGGGGCGACGGAAGUGUGGAGGUAAAUGCCAGUGCCUAAACCUGGACCUGCUUUGGAAACUGUGUGGCUAGAGUGCAGGAGAGGUAAGUGGAAUGCCUAGUGUAGCGGUGAAAUGCGUAGAUAUUAGGCGGAACACCAGUGGCGAAGGCGGCUUACCGG